ACGGAAGGCAGCAGCUAAGAAUAUUCCGCAAUGGACGAAAGUCUGACGGAGCGACGCCGCGUGGAUGAUGAAGGUCGGAAGAUUGUAAAAUCCUUUUGAGUGUGAAGAAUAAGUGCAUCAGGGAAUGGGUGCAUGGUGACGGUAGCACUUGAAUAAGCAACGGCUAAUUACGUGCCAGCAGCCGCGGUAACACGUAAGUUGCGAGCGUUGUUCGGAAUUAUUGGGCGUAAAGGGCAUGUAGGCGGUUCUGCAAGCUUGGUGUGAAAGGCGGGAGCUUAACUCCCGGACUGCGUUGAGAACUGCAUAACUAGAGUGACUGAGGGGCAGGCAGAAUUCCAGGUGUAGGGGUGAAAUCUGUAGAUAUCUGGAAGAAUACCAAUGGCGAAGGCAGCCUGCCAGCAGAUGACUGACGCUGAGGUGCGAAGGUGCGGGGAGCAAACAGGAUUAGAUACCCUGGUA
Molecule: ribosomal RNA, 459 nt
Filed under: uncultured Treponema sp.
Lineage: Bacteria; Pseudomonadati; Spirochaetota; Spirochaetia; Treponematales; Treponemataceae
Description: bacterial SSU rRNA
Rfam family: Bacterial small subunit ribosomal RNA
Source: RNAcentral